UAGGGAUAGUUUGAGUUCUUCUUUUUCUAUUUGUAUUCAUUUACUUUCUUUCUUUUCUGUCUAAUUGCUCUGGCUAGAGUUUCCAGAACCAUGUUGAAUAGAAGUGGUGAAAGAGGGCAUCCCUGUCUUGUUCCAGUUUUCAGAGGGAAUGCUUUCAGUUUUUCUCCAUUUAGAAUGAUUCUGGCCUUGGAUUUAGCUUUUACCAUGUUGAGAUAUGUUCCUCCUAUCCCGAGUUUUUCUAGUGUUCUGAAUGUGAAGGGGUGCUGUAUUUUGUCAAAUGCUUUUUCUGCAUAUAUUGAGAUAUUAUAUCAUUCUUAUUUUUAAGUCUAUUGAUGUGAUGGAUUACAUUUACUGAUUUCUGUGUAUUGAACCAACCUUGCAUUCUUGGAAUGAACCCCACUUGAUCAUGGUGCAAUAUCUUUUUAAUAUGUUUCUGUAUGUGAUUUGCCAGUAUUUUAUUAUGAAUUUUUGCAUCUAUAUUCAUCAGGGAUAUUGGUCUGAAGUUUUCUUUCCUUGAUGUGUCUUUGCCUUGUUUUGGUGUCAGGAGGACACUAGCUUCCUAGAAUUUGUUUGGAAGGGUUCCCUCCUUUUCUAUUUCAUGGAAUCAUUUUAAGAGGGUUGGUGUUAGUUCUUCUGUGAAGGUCUGGUAGAACUCAGCUGAGAAUCCAUCUGGUCCUGGGCUUUUCUUUCUUGGUAAGCUUUUGAUGGUUUCUUCAAUUUCAUUGCUUGAAAUUGAUCUUUUUAAAAUUUCUAUGUCUUCCUGAUUCAAUUUGAGUCUGUCAUAUGUUUCUAGAAAUUUGUCUAUGUCUUCAAGAUUUUCUAUUUUAUUAGAGUAUAAAUUUUCAAAAUAGGUUCUGUUGGUCAUCUGUAUAUAGGUAGUGUCUAUUGUGAUAUUUCUUUUUCAUUGCGAAUUUCAGUAAUUUGCAUUUUCUCUCUUUCUCUUCAUAAGAGUGGCUAAGCAUGUUGCAACAUAUGACUAAAUUAGUCAGGGUCACUCUAGGUAAAUUGGGUUGGCACUGAAUAGAGAAAACACAGAGACAGAGAAAAUACCUUUUUCUUGGGGUUCACUGAUGGCUCCUUGGCCCCAGCUCACACAAGGGAAGCAAGAGAGGUGACAAAAGAGAGUGAGAGCAACCUGAAGCCCUAUUUAUUGAGGGGAAGACACUUAAGAAAAUUACACCCAAAUGUGGCAAGGGACUGGUGUUUCAGUCUCAUUGGGUGAUGCCCACUCCCAGAGCUUCAAUCUCCUGCCGAGUGAAGGUGAGGUCCACCUGCUCUCAUGCUGCAAGUGGAAGCCAGUCCCACACCUCCGUCCCUUAAGUCUAAGGGUCCAUGCAUGCUUACUCCUAUGUGGCAGCUCCUGACAUAAGCGUUUAUCAAUUUUAUUGAUUCUUUUCAAGGAACCAACUUUUUGUUUUGUUGAUUUUUUGGAUUGCUUCUUUUGUUUCAAUUUCAUUGACUUCAGCUUGAUUUUAAUUAUAUUCUGUCUUCUACUGCUUUUGGUGUUGAUUUGUUCUUCUUUUUCUAGGCCUUUGAGAUGUAGUCUUAGUUUAUUUAUUUGUUGACUUUCUAUUUUUUUAAUGAAUGAGCUCAAUGCAAUGAACUUUCCUCUUAGACUGUCUUCAUAGCAUCCUGCAGAUUUUGAUAUGUUGUAUUUCUAUUCUCAUUUACCUCUAAGUAUUUUUUUUAAAAUUUCAUCCCUGAUUUUUUCUGCUAUCCAUUUGCCAUUCAAUAGCAUAUAAUUUAGUCUUCAGGUGAUAGAGUGGCUUCUAUUUUUUAUUGUAUCAUUGAUUUCUAAUUUUAUUCCUUACAAUCUGAUAGGAUGCAAGAUAUUGUUUAUUUAUUUAUUUUUAUUUAUUUUCUAAGACUUGCUUUAUGGAUAAGAUAUGGUCUAUUUUAGAGAAGGUUCCAUGUGCUGCUGAGAAGAAAGUGUAUUCAGUAAUUUCAAAAUCUCUGUCUCUUUAUUGAAGUAAUUUUUUACUUCCUCUUUUUUCUCUUUGAUUUCACUUCCUAUACUACCCUUUACUUAACAGAUCAGUCUGAUUCUGUGCAUUCUACACUCCUUCUCUGAUAUUACUUCCACUGUAGUGUCAAUGGAUUCUGUUAUUGGAGUACCUUGGUUGUUUGGGGUGAUUUGCUCUCUUGCCUUGUAGGGCAUGAUGUAACAUGGGGCAUGUUGCAUCAGAAAAGAGGAAACUUAACUUGCUGGCUGCUACCCGCUUCCCAGUCCUGGGGCCACAUAUGGCUAAGAGAGCACCUAGCGAUUAGCCAGAGGCAUUGCCGUGGGUUAUGAUGAAGAAUCGGACCACCUCUAGGAUAGGCUCAGAACCCCUCUGCCCUCACAUACAUUACUGCCUGUAGGAUGGGUGUAGAUGUAAAUUCUCCCCAUCCUGCUGACCUUCAUCCUGAUUGACUCCUGUACAUUAUAUUAGCUGUGUAUGUUUUCUCAUUAAACGAGAUCCUGCUUUGACAGUUCUCCCUGGCACCUCUGAUUGUCCUCCAUGGAGGGAGGGCUGGGUGUGGGCGGCCAGUAGACCUUUACCUUUCUUGGCCUGUCCUGGUUGGGGCAUGCUCCCCCAAUCUCUCCCACAGGUCUGGAGGGAAGGGGGGAGGCUAAAAACCCCGACAUCUGGGGCCCCACGCGGGACACGAAGAACUCAGUUUAUCAAGAGUGAGAGUAUCAAGCGAGUUUUCCGAGGUAAGGGUAUCCCUGGAAAGAUGGGGCAAUCUCACACUAGGCAUAAUGACCCAGCUCUUAUGCUCAAAAGCCGAGGUUUAGAGAUCUUGGAUGUGCAGGCCAAAAAGGUCUGGGAAACCUUGACACUUGUGGGGUCCUGGUAGAUGGCUGACGGGGAGGAGGAGGGAGAGGUUUGCCAGAGGGAGCCAGGCCGGCCUGUGGGAGCCCCAGGUGUUUCUUCUCGUGGCCUGCUGCAGGCCCCACUGGCGCCUGGGCGUCUGCAUCCCCCGUUCUGUCCCACUCCACCCCUGGGCUUUGGGCCACCUGGGACCGCACAGAACAGUUGGUGAGGAAGAGGGAAGUUAACCUGGGAGAGGACCCCCCUCUGAGGGACUGCCUGUUUCUCUCCUGGCCCCUCAAGACCCUUUUAUCUGCCCUCAAAACACCUACUCCUCCUACCACCAAUCCUUGGCCUGGUCCCCUAAAUUCCACACUAACUUCCCCUGUCCCGGAACACUUGGUAGACAGGAUGGGGAAUGGCCUCCGCCAUAUUGUCAUCCCUCCCCCUCACAGAAAUUCUCCGCCCUCUUACAAAAAAAACCAAACAAACAAACAAAAAAAACACCUCAAAAAAAGACCAUCUCAGAGGAUGGGCCUAAUUCGCCCUGGGCUGAAACCAUCUUCCAGGGUCUGGAAAGAUCAAACUCCACCUAAGAUGCCCUGCCCCCAGUGUAAAAAGGGAUUUCAUUUGGCAAAAGGAUUAUAAGUCCAAAUUUGAUAUUGGGGGGAAGCCUUUAAACUAGUAAUGGGGUGCCCUCCAGCCCCGUCACCCAAAGGAGGCGCCCCGCCUAGACACCGGCCUAGGGCCCACUGGCCCAGGCCAGGGCGAGCUGAGCCAGGCCUGGUGGGUGCUGUGUGGGCGGGGCCAAGCAGAGUCCCAGGCUGCCACUGCUUGAGCCAGAGCUCUGACCUGCCCGCCCGACCUGGAGGCACAGUCUCAUAGGCUCUUGCUCCCUGUGCGGCCCAGUGGCAGCUUGGUGGCAGCUCGAGUCCGGGACACUCCCCCAAGGCCAUCUGAGGUUGCCGGGGGGAUGGCGAUAGGGAGAGAGAAUGGCCUUCCAGCGCCACCUGAGAAAAACAGCUUCCUUCAAAUUGGCAAAAUAAUAAAAUGAAAAAUUUGAACAUUUUAGCUUUGGGUGGAAGCAUAAAAAUUUGCCAGCAAGGAGCCAGUGGGGACUCAGAGGGCUACCAAGGAUCUUGCCACCUUCCUCGAGAGGGUGGAAAAGAGCCUCCAAAGGAAAUUCCCCCCAGGGGCCCCUUCAGGAUUGGCCCUGCUUUAUACAAAAAAAAAGGGGGGGGACUACACGCCAUUCUCAUGCCUCCUGAGCUUUAUAAAUGCAGGGUUAGCAACAUCUCAAAUCCAUAGCAGCUGAUAUCCAGAACUCCAAUUUAGCUAUCCUUACAUCUGACAUCCUUACAUCUUACAUCCUUACAUCUGACAAUGGUUCUCCCACACCUGGAGGCUAAUGGAUAGAUAUGUUAAUGAGCACCAUUGAGGCCUAUUUCAAAUGUAAAAAUACCCUGAGGCUUACUUGUGGGAAUACCUUCAAACCCAUAUGUAAGUUACAGGAAGAAGGAUGGGAUAUCAGAAGCAGAGUCAAACCCAGGUGGUAGCCAGGAUGCUUUUUUCAAUAUCUAUUUUAAGUAGAUUUUGCCUUAUGCUCUUCCCAAAACCACACAUAUACUCCAAAGCUGGCACACCAAAAUGGUUUUUCUGCUAUUAUGCCCUCUCCCACAUCAUGGAGUUCUGUUUUAUUUUUUGAGCUCAUGAUUUUGAUCCUACAGACCUAGGUUAAUGUUUUUCUGAUCAGUUCUAUUUUUUGAUCAACUGUGGAGUUUUUAAACAUUGCAAUGGAGAUUUCACCUGUGAAAAGCUACAAGGCCUUUACUAUUGUGUUAUAUGUGCACACUUGUGUUAUGCGUUGAAUGUCUGUAUGUGUGUAUGUCCAUAUGUCAUACCCAUGAUAGAAAAUUGGCAGAUAUAUGAGGAGCACUCAUGAAAAAUUUUAAAAAAUGGAUGCAAAUAUCUUUUAUUCAUGUGAUUUAAACAGUUCAAUUUAAAUUGGGUAAACAGAUGAAAGUAAAGAUGUAUUUAAAAUUAAGCUUACAAGUUUUUCUAGGUGUUCAAAAAAAACUAAUAAAAUGUUGAGGUCUAUGAAAUAAUCUACCUAAAUUCAGAAAUUUACAAAGAUUGUUUCAAAAUGUGAACAAAAAAUGGAGGUUAACAGAUGGAAAGAAGAAAUUAGAAGAUUCUAGAUAUAAAACUCAUAUUUAAUAGAAGAAAAAAAAGUGUUCCUAAAUAAAGAAAAUCUUUAUGUGAUAAAUAAGAGUUUAAGUAAGUGAUAAAGAAGGUCUAUGUAAGUUUGUUCUUACAAUCAGUCAUAUGUUAAAAGGACAAAGAUUUCUUAAAACAUUAGUUUACCCAUAACAUUGUGUUUUAUUAAGUUUUGUUUCUUGUUUCUAGAGCAAGUAAUCUUUAAAAAAAAAUUAAACAGCUGGUUAAACAAGAACUGUUAUUUUAGAGAAUUGUGCUGUGUUAUUUCUUUAAAAGCUAAAUUUGGUUAAUAUAAAAACAUCAGUGUAAUUGUGGUGCUAUUAAUGUGUUCAUAUCUUCCAGGUAUACAAGUCUGUAAGGUAGAAGCUUUAAAAGAGCAUUAUAUCAAGCGGGUGUUCUAAAGUUGUACGGUAAUUUUAGGCUUAAGAGAAAAACAUAUUGGAGAUUUAUUUAUAUCAUUGAUGUUCUAUAACUGGACCUGUUAUCAAUAGGAUGUGUAAAGUUUUAUGUUACUUUUUACACUGAGGUAUGAUUUUUUAAUUGUAAAAAUGAAAAGACCAUUCUGGACACUUUGCCUGGUUGUGACCAGACUCCUCAUUGUCUCCCUCAUGGCAUUCAUCGUGGCCACGGGGAUGGGAACUGGACUUGCUGGCCUCUAUACUUCUUUACAGAUGUGCAAUAAGCUUUCUCAGCAGAUGAUAGAUGGUAUGCACCACGUGCCAACACUAUCUUAGACCUGCAAUCUCAACUCAUUCCUUGGCUACAGUAGUACUCCAAAACCAUCGUGGCCUGGACCUACUUACCGCUUGAGAAGGGGAACUAUGCCUGCUCCUACAGGAGGAGUGCUGCUUCUAUGCCAAUCGCUCUGGUAUCAUCCAAGACGAGAUCAAGAGACUACAAGAAGACCUUAAAACCUGUUGGAAUGAACUGCAAUCUAGCUUUCUAUGGACUGGGCUAAAAUGGUGGGUGGCUCCCUUAUCGAGCCAGAGCUGUUCAACUGAUGGUUGUCUGGCAGCAACAAGAUACUGACAAGAUAUCUUACAAGAUACUGACUGGGAACCCUAUGAGGUUGGUCAUGGCCCCUACCAGGACAUACAGGUGUAAGCCGGGAGCAGAAAGGUUUCCUUCAUAGGUGAUAGACAUUUCCCGUCCUUAAAGCUUCCCAUUGGGUCUGCCAACCCUGCCUGAAGAGCCAGAGUGGUAGUCAAUGACAGGUAAGAUCCCCAGAGGGGGACAACCUAAGACAGGCACACUCUCGAGUAAGGCAAACACCUGCUAAUAAAACAAAACGAGGGAGAUGUAGGGCAUGAUGUAACGUGGGGCAUGUUGCAUCAGAAAAGAGGAAACUUAACUUGCUGGCUGCUACCCGCUUCCCAGUCCUGGAGCCACAUGUGGCUAAGAGAGCACCUAGCGAUUAGCCAGAGGCAUUGCCGUGGGUUGCGAUGAAGAAUCAGACCACCUCUAGGAUAGGCUCAGAACUCCUCUGCCCUCACAUACAUUAUUGCCUGUAGGGUGGGUGUAGAUGUAAAUUCUCCCCAUCCUGCUGACCUUUAUCCUGAUUGACUCCUGUACAUUAUAUUAGCUGUGUAUGUUUUCUCAUUAAACGAGAUCCUGCUUUGACAGUUCUCCCUGGCGCAUCUGAUUGUCCUCCAGGGAGGGAGGGCUAGGUGUGGGCAGGCGGCGAGUCGACCUUUACCUUUCUUGGCCUGUCCUGGUUCGGGGCGUGCUCCCCCAAUCUCUCCUGCAGGUCAGGAGGGAAGGUGGGGGCGGGCUAAAAAAC
Molecule: long non-coding RNA, 6792 nt
Filed under: Marmota monax (woodchuck)
Lineage: Eukaryota; Metazoa; Chordata; Mammalia; Rodentia; Sciuridae
Source: RNAcentral